Raphanus sativus (radish) is the source of this 573-nucleotide long non-coding RNA. RefSeq lists it as uncharacterized. The record is from RefSeq and is a predicted model, not a curated record. NCBI's taxonomy places the organism in Eukaryota, Viridiplantae, Streptophyta, Magnoliopsida, Brassicales, Brassicaceae. The transcript has 3 exons.
UCACUUUCCUAAAUACAUUCCCAAUUCACAAAUCUGAUCUUAAUUUUUAGAUUUUCUGUGGUUGCAAAUUCCUUUAUCAUUUUCUCACCCUAAUCAAUUUCAGUCUCCCAUCCAUGAAUCAUAAUCACUUUCAUCUCCACACUAAUCUGUUUCGUACGCGUCGUCUCUGAACCACCGGUCCACCGUCGAACAAAGCUCCGCAAGCCUGCUCCCGUGCCGUGAGCAACUGAUUUCGACAUGCAAGAUAUUGUGGAUGUGUUGGAGCUAUCACAGCACCAAGAUGCCUCGUGAAACCACACAAAGAAGAAAGCUAUGAAUGGAUGAUUUUAAUGGGAGCAAGAAAGAGUAAAGAUAAUUCCAUGAAUCUACACGUAUGAUUCCCAAUAAGCUCAGGAAAAGAGGUAUCUCUUACUUUUCUCAGGUUUUGAGUUAGGCUUCUGUUAGCUUAUGUAGUGUGUCAAAACAAUUUUUUUUCAGUUUACGUUUGAAAGCUUAUGUUUUUUGGAGUUGUGCAUGAAAGCUUAUGUUUUUGUAAUUGUUAGUCGAAUGUGAACCUUGUUUUUUAGUCAUCUA